UGGAGAUUCACGCGCUUCGCCGCAACACACUCAUAUUUGUGAACCACAUGUAGCACUUCUUUAUACGCAUCUGUGCAAGCGAAGCGAGAGCCUAGAAGACGCUGCUCAUAUUUGGUCCUCACGUUGGACUUUAUUGUCUCUGGACGUACAAGCCAACAGUGAAUGCGUCCCCACUGGAAGUAACAUCAAGGGUCAAAAUCCUCACAGGGAAGACGGACAAAAGAGAUGAUUGGUCUGCAAGCUGGCCACGCCAAGCCAUGAGAAGCUCAACGGUCACCGUAAUGACAACAGGUCCUCUUGAACUACGUGCCUCACCAUGAAAUGUU
Molecule: long non-coding RNA, 326 nt
Organism: Dermacentor silvarum
Lineage: Eukaryota; Metazoa; Arthropoda; Arachnida; Ixodida; Ixodidae
Exons: 3
Source: RefSeq, a predicted model, not a curated record